CAGAGUGGUUUAACCUGAGCAGUGACAGGAGACUGUUUUGGCCUAUUUUGGACUGCAUCUGUAAAUGCAGAGCUGUGUGGCUUGCUGGGCAGAGAGCACCGUUCCUCUCAGGAAGAUGUUGUGGCUGACAGCAUUAGGUUGUAAUAAUGGCUAAGUACUAUGGGAGAAGCUCAGCUUUUCGGGUAAGAUGGCCAAACAAACAUUCCUUGAAGUUUUCAGGAAAAGGGAAGCACUGGAGGGAAGCAUAGAUGAGAUGAGGGCCACCAGCCAGACGCUCUGACCUAACAUGUGAAUGCACACAACUGUGAAUGCACACAACUUCCUUGCAUCGAGCAGACUGCCAUCACGCAGCUGACUGUAACCUUCUAAGUCUCUCUAGCAACACCUACUGAAAUAAGACUCACUGGAAUUUGCUCUUCUACACUGAAAAUCAGCACUGCAGUGUGGUGGGGAAAAACUUCCUGCCAUCAUUUACCUCAAGCUCUGACACUGAAAGGGAGAAGGAAUGAGAGGGAACAAAUAAUUGCCUACAUUUAAAGCAGUGAAACAGAAUGGAGAUGAACACAGAAGUGAAUAGGAGGCAGCUUUGCAGAGGGAAAUAACAGAGUGUUAUGCAUUGCACAAGUUCUGCAACAUGUAUCUCAGCAGAAAGAGUAAGUCUCUGUCUUCUCCAUUAGGAGAUACAGUAUAACUCCUGAGAAUGAAGAUUAUUAUGCUCUUCUCUAACACUUCAAAUUUGACUUAGCAUCAUGUUCUAAUACAUGUUUUUGUGACAAUUGUAUUACUUAAAUCAACUUAUCUUUUUCUGUUGAACUGCUUAUCUAGAAGUCAUAAACUAUGGAAAAAGCAAAAUGAUGUAUCUUUGAAUAUACAUUUUAUUAAAAUAUUUCCUAAAAU
Long non-coding RNA from Cygnus olor (mute swan), 897 nucleotides. RefSeq lists it as uncharacterized. The transcript is spliced from 2 exons. The record is from RefSeq and is a predicted model, not a curated record. NCBI's taxonomy places the organism in Eukaryota, Metazoa, Chordata, Aves, Anseriformes, Anatidae.